CAAUAGCGUAUAUUAAAGUUGUUGCAGUUAGAAAGCUCGUAGUUGGAUUUCUGGUCGGAAGCUCCUGUCCUCUGAUGAGCGUACAAGUGCGUCCUACCAUCCUUCUGUUAACCUUUAAGGCUUUCGCGGCUUUCUAGGGGCUCAGAUAUUUUACCUUGAGAAAAUUAGAGUGUUUCAGGCAGGCUAGCGCCGGAAUACAUUAGCAUGGAAUAAUGGAAUAGGACUUUUGCCUCUUCUGUUGGUCAUGAGGCUCGAGUAAUGAUUAAUAGGGAUAGUUGGGGGCAUUAGUACUUAACUGUCAGAGGUGAAAUUCUCGGAUUUGUUAAAGACUAACUUAUGCGAAAGCAUUUGCCAAGGAUGUUUUCAUUAA
Molecule: ribosomal RNA, 370 nt
Filed under: uncultured eukaryote
Lineage: Eukaryota
Description: partial 18S ribosomal RNA
Rfam family: Eukaryotic small subunit ribosomal RNA
Source: RNAcentral